This 427-nucleotide ribosomal RNA is filed under the name uncultured bacterium. RNAcentral's name for it is "partial 16S ribosomal RNA". It matches the Rfam family "Bacterial small subunit ribosomal RNA", at positions 355 to 774 of the family's 1533-position model. The record is from RNAcentral.
UGGGGAAUAUUGCACAAUGGGCGCAAGCCUGAUGCAGCCAUGCCGCGUGUAUGAAGAAGGCCUUCGGGUUGUAAAGUACUUUCAGCGGGGAGGAAGGCGAUGUGGUUAAUAACCGCGUCGAUUGACGUUACCCGCAGAAGAAGCACCGGCUAACUCCGUGCCAGCAGCCGCGGUAAUACGGAGGGGGCAAGCGUUAAUCGGAAUUACUGGGCGUAAAGCGCACGCAGGCGGUCUGUCAAGUCGGAUGUGAAAUCCCCGGGCUCAACCUGGGAACUGCAUCCGAAACUGGCAGGCUUGAGUCUCGUAGAGGGGGGUAGAAUUCCAGGUGUAGCGGUGAAAUGCGUAGAGAUCUGGAGGAAUACCGGUGGCGAAGGCGGCCCCCUGGACGAAGACUGACGCUCAGGUGCGAAAGCGUGGGGAGCAAACA